Molecule: ribosomal RNA, 500 nt
Filed under: uncultured bacterium
Lineage: Bacteria
Description: partial 16S ribosomal RNA
Rfam family: Bacterial small subunit ribosomal RNA
Source: RNAcentral
AUUGAACGCUGGCGGAAUGCUUUACACAUGCAAGUCGAACGGCAGCACGGACUUCGGUCUGGUGGCGAGUGGCGAACGGGUGAGUAAUGUAUCGGAACGUGCCCAGUCGUGGGGGAUAACGUAGUGAAAAUUACGCUAAUACCGCAUACGAUCGAUGGAUGAAAGCGGGGGAUCGCAAGACCUCGCGCGAUUGGAGCGGCCGAUAUCAGAUUAGGUGGUUGGUGGGGUAAAGGCCCACCAAGCCAACGAUCUGUAGCUGGUCUGAGAGGACGACCAGCCACACUGGAACUGAGACACGGUCCAGACUCCUACGGGAGGCAGCAGUGGGGAAUUUUGGACAAUGGGCGAAAGCCUGAUCCAGCCAUUCCGCGUGCAGGAUGAAGGCCCUCGGGUUGUAAACUGCUUUUGUACAGAACGAAAAGGUUUCUACUAAUACUAGGAGCUCAUGACGGUACUGUAAGAAUAAGCACCGGCUAACUACGUGCCAGCCGCCGCGGUAA